GGGGAAGUAGCUUAGUUGGAAAAGCAUUAGUCUGUCACGCUAGAGAUCGCGGGUUCAAGCCCCGUCUUUCCCG
Molecule: transfer RNA, 73 nt
Filed under: Entransia fimbriata
Lineage: Eukaryota; Viridiplantae; Streptophyta; Klebsormidiophyceae; Entransiales; Entransiaceae
Description: tRNA-Asp
Rfam family: tRNA
About the family: Transfer RNA (tRNA) molecules are approximately 80 nucleotides in length. Their secondary structure includes four short double-helical elements and three loops (D, anti-codon, and T loops).
Source: RNAcentral